RNAcentral lists this long non-coding RNA (728 nucleotides) under Homo sapiens (human). RNAcentral describes it as "HSALNT0092001". Lineage: Eukaryota; Metazoa; Chordata; Mammalia; Primates; Hominidae. The record is from RNAcentral.
UUUCAGAGUCAGGGUCUCACUCUGUUGCCCAGGCUGGAGUGCAGUGGUGCAAUCACAGCUCGUUGCCAUCUCGACCUCCUGGGCUUAAGCGAUCCUCCACUCAGCCUCCCAAAUAGCUGGGACCACAGACGUGUGCUGCCUUGCCAGGGAUGGUGAUUGCUCACACCAAAGCCUUGGACCCCUCCCAGCCUGUGACCUUUGUGACCAACUCCACCUACGCAGCAGACAAGGGGAUUUGGAGUCCAGCCUUCCAGACCUGAUCUUAUACACCAGCCUCGCUUUACAUCAUGCUGCAAAAUCCUCAGGCAAAUAUUUAUGGUGACUCUGUUAAGCUAGAGAUGGAUCUUCUAUUUAUCCUUGAUUGAAUUAUUCAGAGUGUCAUAAACUAUACCUGGUCCCUGGACAUCUGACUCAUACAUAAAAGCCACUGGUUACAAUGGAAAUUGAUUAGGAAAAUGAUGUUAUAAUUCUCAGCAUUACUGUAAGAUGAAGUCUCGCUCUGUCUUCCAGGCUGGAGUGCAGUGGUGCGAUCUCGGCUCACUGCAACCUCUGCCUCCCGGGUUCAAGCAAUUCUUCUGCCUCAGCCUCCCGAGUAGCUGGGACCACAGGAGCGUGCCUCCAUGCCUGAAGACCAUUGUUCCUCUCCUCAAGCCAGAACCAAAAGACUUUUCCUCAAGCUGACAGGCAAGCCAUGCUCACUCCCACAUCUCAAGCUGCAUUGAGUCCAG